UACGGAGGAUACAAGCGUUAUCCGGAAUCAUUGGGUUUAAAGGGUCCGUAGGCGGGACGGUAAGUCAGUGGUGAAAGUCUGCAGCUCAACUGUAGAACUGCCAUUGAUACUGUAGACCUUGAGUUAUUAUGAAGUGGUUAGAAUAUGUAGUGUAGCGGUGAAAUGCAUAGAUAUUACAUAGAAUACCGAUUGCGAAGGCAGAUCACUAAUAAUUUACUGACGCUGAUGGACGAAAGCGUAGGUAGCGAACAGG
RNAcentral lists this unclassified non-coding RNA (253 nucleotides) under uncultured Flavobacteriaceae bacterium. Its description in RNAcentral is "contains 16S-23S intergenic spacer region". It matches the Rfam family "Bacterial small subunit ribosomal RNA", at positions 524 to 776 of the family's 1533-position model. Lineage: Bacteria; Pseudomonadati; Bacteroidota; Flavobacteriia; Flavobacteriales; Flavobacteriaceae. The record is from RNAcentral.